AAUCAAGAACGCGCAGGUGUGCAGGCUCUACGUUCUUCAGGUGUGAGUGUUGGUUCUCAAGCUGCUGCUUUCUUUCAUCGAAAUGGAAAACCUGGAUUCCGCAUGGGAUGAAGAAGAAGAGGGCUGCCUCCCUAUCCCUCCACUUGAUGAUGGGGCUUUCUCUCCUUAUCAUCCCACCACAUUGGCUCUCUGUCAGUUCUUCGAUGAAAUUGAUGAGAAUGGAAAUGUUCGAGACAAC
Long non-coding RNA from Vitis riparia (riverbank grape), 238 nucleotides. RefSeq lists it as uncharacterized. NCBI's taxonomy places the organism in Eukaryota, Viridiplantae, Streptophyta, Magnoliopsida, Vitales, Vitaceae. The transcript has 3 exons. The record is from RefSeq and is a predicted model, not a curated record.